CCUACGGGAGGCAGCAGUAGGGAAUCUUCCGCAAUGGACGAAAGUCUGACGGAGCAACGCCGCGUGAGUGAUGAAGGCUUUCGGGUCGUAAAACUCUGUUGUUAGGGAAGAACAAGUACGAGAGUCGAACUGCUCGUAGCAUUGACGAGUACACUGACGUACCAGAAAGCCACGGCUAACUACGUGCCAGCAGCCGCGGUAAUACGUAGGUGGCAAGCGUUAUCCGGAAUUAUUGGGCGUAAAGCGCGCGCAGGCGGUUUCUUAAGUCUGAUGUGAAAGCCCACGGCUCAACCGUGGAGGGUCAUUGGAAACUGGGGAACUUGAGUGCAGAAGAGAAAAGCGGAAUUCCACGUGUAGCGGUGAAAUGCGUAGAGAUGUGGAGGAACACCAGUGGCGAAGGCGGCUUUUGGUCUGUAACUGACGCUGAGGCGCGAAAGCGUGGGGGAGCAAACAGGAUUAGAUACCUGGGUAGUCCACGCCGUAAACGAUGAGUGCUAAGUGUUAGAGGGUUUCCGCCCUUUAGUGCUGCAGCUAACGCAUUAAGCACUCCCGCCUGGGGAGUACGGUCGCAAGACUGAAACUCAAAGGAAUUGACGGGGGCCCGCACAAGCGGUGGAGCAUGUGGUUUAAUUCGAAGCAACGCGAAGAACCUUAC
RNAcentral lists this ribosomal RNA (655 nucleotides) under bacterium HN1-5-16. Its description in RNAcentral is "bacterial SSU rRNA". It matches the Rfam family "Bacterial small subunit ribosomal RNA", at positions 338 to 974 of the family's 1533-position model. The record is from RNAcentral.